GACGAACGCUGGCGGCGUGCUUAACACAUGCAAGUCGAACGAAGUGGCGAACGGGUGAGUAACGCGUAAUCAACCUGCCCUUCAGAGGGGGACAACAGUUGGAAACGACUGCUACUACCGCAUAAUGAAGAAGGGGCUUGCGUCUGAUUAGCGAGUGGGAGGGGGAACGGCCCACCAAGGCGAUGAUCAGUAGCCGUGGUGCGAGGGUGAACGGCCAAAAUUGGACGGAGACACGGCCCCGACUCCUACGGGAGGCAGCCGUGGGGAAGCUUCCGAAAUGGACGAAAGUCUGACGGCGCAACGCCGGGGUGGUGAUGACGGCCUUCGGGUUGUAAAGCUCUGUUAAUCGGGACGCGGUACCGGAAUAGAAAGCCACGGCUAACUACGUGCCAGCAGCCGCGGUAAUAC
RNAcentral lists this ribosomal RNA (408 nucleotides) under uncultured bacterium. Its description in RNAcentral is "partial 16S ribosomal RNA". It matches the Rfam family "Bacterial small subunit ribosomal RNA", at positions 28 to 526 of the family's 1533-position model. The record is from RNAcentral.